RNAcentral lists this ribosomal RNA (467 nucleotides) under uncultured bacterium. Its description in RNAcentral is "partial 16S ribosomal RNA". It matches the Rfam family "Bacterial small subunit ribosomal RNA", at positions 28 to 507 of the family's 1533-position model. The record is from RNAcentral.
GACGAACGCUGGCGGCGUGCUUAACACAUGCAAGUCGAACGAUGACGACCGAGCUUGCUCGGUCUGAUUAGUGGCGAACGGGUGAGUAACACGUGAGCAACCUGCCCUUCACUCUGGGAUAACCUCGGGAAGUCGGGGCUAAUACCGGAUAUGAGCUCCUGUCGCAUGGCGGGUGUUGGAAAGUUUUUCGGUGAAGGAUGGGCUCGCGGCCUAUCAGUUUGUUGGUGGGGUAGUGGCUCACCAAGGCGAUGACGGGUAGCCGGCCUGAGAGGGCGACCGGCCACACUGGGACUGAGACACGGCCCAGACUCCUACGGGAGGCAGCAGUGGGGAAUAUUGCACAAUGGGCGAAAGCCUGAUGCAGCGACGCCGCGUGAGGGAUGACGGCCUUCGGGUUGUAAACCUCUUUCAGCAGGGAAGAAGCGAAAGUGACGGUACCUGCAGAAGAAGCGCCGGCUAACUACGUG